UAGAUAGGCGUAGGCGAUCCUUUAGCUCAAGAAGCAAAUCAUUCAAUUGCAUCAUGCAUGGGUGGUGUUCGUACUGCAGGAGAUCUUGUUUUACGUAUGC
Dethiosulfatibacter aminovorans DSM 17477 is the source of this 100-nucleotide regulatory RNA element. It matches the Rfam family "Pyrrolysine insertion sequence mtbB". NCBI's taxonomy places the organism in Bacteria, Bacillati, Bacillota, Tissierellia. The record is from Rfam.